GACGAACCGUGCGAACGUUAUUCGGAAUCAUUGGGCUUAAAGCGCGUGUAGGCGGGUUCGUGCGUCUGUCGCUGAAAUCCCCCGGCUCAACCGGGGAACGGGCGCGGAUACGACGAGCCUGGAGGGGCAUAGGGGGACCUGGAACUUCCGGUGGAGCGGUGAAAUGCGUUGAGAUCGGAAGGAACGCCCGUGGCGAAAGCGAGGUCCUGGAUGCCUACUGACGCUGAGACGCGAAAGCCAGGGGAGCGAACGGG
Molecule: ribosomal RNA, 254 nt
Filed under: uncultured bacterium
Lineage: Bacteria
Also listed under: 1 other name
Description: partial 16S ribosomal RNA
Rfam family: Bacterial small subunit ribosomal RNA
Source: RNAcentral